ACGAACGCUGGCGGCGUGCCUAACACAUGCAAGUCGGACGGGGUUAUCGGGCAGCUUGCUGCCUGAGACACCCAGUGGCGCACGGGUGAGUAACACGUGGGCAAUCUGCCCGGAAGACCGGGAUAACAGGCCGAAAGGGCUGCUAAUACCGGAUACGCCCGUCCUGCCGCAUGACAGGACGGGGAAAGAUUUAUCGCUUUCGGAUGAGCCCGCGUCCCAUUAGCUAGUUGGUGAGGUAACUGCUCACCAAGGCAACGAUGGGUAGCUGGUCUGAGAGGACGAUCAGCCACACUGGAACUGAGACACGGUCCAGACUCCUACGGGAGGCAGCAGUGGGGAAUCUUGCGCAAUGGGCGAAAGCCUGACGCAGCAACGCCGCGUGAACGAAGAAGGCCUUCGGGUCGUAAAGUUCUGUCAGGGGGGACGAAGUUUUGACGGUACCCCCGGAGGAAGCCCCGGCUAACUACGUGCCAGCAGCCGCGGUAACACGUAGGGGGCGAGCGUUGUCCGGAAUUACUGGGCGUAAAGGGCGUGUAGGCGGCCUUUCAAGUCAGGUGUGAAAUUCCAGGGCCCAACCCUGGGCGUGCACUUGAAACUGGGGGGCUUGAGUGCAGGAGAGGAAAGUGGAAUUCCCAGUGUAGCGGUGAAAUGCGUAGAUAUUGGGAGGAACACCAGUGGCGAAGGCGACUUUCUGGCCUGUAACUGACGCUGAGGCGCGAAAGCUAGGGGAGCAAACAGG
RNAcentral lists this ribosomal RNA (739 nucleotides) under uncultured bacterium. Its description in RNAcentral is "bacterial SSU rRNA". It matches the Rfam family "Bacterial small subunit ribosomal RNA", at positions 29 to 776 of the family's 1533-position model. The record is from RNAcentral.